GGUGGACGCGUAUUAUUGGGCUGUACAUUCCUGGGUUGAGCAUUCUCGGGCCGCGCAAUAUUGGUCCGGGGCGAUAAUACGAAGCCACUCUUUUCACAGGGCAAUAAUGUACGACCCCAUAAUUCGCGUCCAAUAAUUUGAGUCCCUUGGCUUUCAAUUAUUGGGCUGCGCAUUAUUGGUACAGGUCGAGAAAGCCCGACCCAAUAAUGUACGACCCAAUAAUAGGAAGCCAAAAACCAGAGAGAUUCUUUUUUUUAAGGGAGCUGUCAAAAUUAGUAGGGACGUUCUGACAUUAGCUCUUGACAAUUUAAAAAUAAUCGGUUUUUUCUAGUGCCAUCUUUCAGUGACAUUGACAGUAUUGUAUUGACACUUGUUGGUUUACAAAUACAAUAAAAUGAAUUCUAAUAAAAGAAACAGUAGACUCAGUAGAGGUACGAGGUACUGAAAAAAUAUUAAUUAAUGGAGAAGCCGAAGUUGGAGAACCUUCACGUCGCAAUUAUAGUGCUGUAUCAUUAUCUAAAGUGUUACAUUAACAUAAGAAGAAAUAUAUUGACGACAAAAAACAUGGAAACUGUCAACGAUGUAACGUUCCAGAUUUAAAAAUUACACCGUUUUUGCCUGUAUUUCACCGAAGAUUUUACAGAUGAGUAUUGUUUUCAUAAUUUAUAAGCCUAGUUUUUAGUUUAUUUGUCCACGAUUUCUAAUUGUCAUACUUUUUUUUUGCUACCUUCAUACGAUUUGAGGAGAACUUUGUUUAAAACAUAACAGGAUUUUAACAUACCUAAAUAUCUUAAUUCAUUCUUAAAUCACCUCAAGAACCAUUAAAUCAUACCCUGCGGUAAGCAGUUAACUUAUAAAACAGCAAAUUAUAAAGUUUAUUGUAUAAAAUCUAAGAAGCUUAUCAAUUACAAAUCAAGUCAUUUGUAGUUUACAUUUUUUUUUUUAAAUCACUAUAUUCUGUUAGAAGCAUUGAAUUUCAUUCAUCUAUUUUGCUCAGAUAUCAUACACUACCAAUAUGUUUACAGCUCAAACUACUAAGAUGACUACACGCAGGGAUGUCCUGGUUGCUAAAAUGCAGCAAUUACAGAAAGAACUGAAAACAGCCGAUGAAUUGAACAAGAGACUCCUUCAAGAACAGGAAGAGAGUGCAGAGCAAUUUGAGCAAGUUGUUAGAAUAAACACAACCCUCAAGUCUCAGCUCGCUAACCAGGAUGUUGAGUUCGAAGACAUGCAGGGGCAGCGGGAUGAACUUCAAGCUGCCGUUGAUCAGUUCAAGAAUUGUCAGGAGAUACAAGGUGGAGGUUUCUGCAAAACAUAUUGGAAAACAAGAAGAUUCGAGGAGAAUGGUGUGGCACUUAAUGCCGCCGGGACAGUAACCUAGCUGCAGCUCCAACUCUAGGGAAUUGGGCUGAAUGAACGCAACACGUGAUCGACAGCCCACCUGCUUCCUGCCGAGCGUCCCUACACUACAUCUACAUGGAUUCGCUUAUUCUGCUCUACAAAACUUCUGAGCUGAUACAAGCAGCCAGAAUGAGUCUCUGCUGAGUCGCCGGCGCCGGACGUGCGUCGCGCGCCUCGGGCGACUGACGUCUUCGUGUGAGUCGCCAAUUGCAGGGGAAGAUACGAAUAGUUAGGUAUAAAAGCUACUUUAGUCAACCUCGCCUCAGUACUGUUUGUAUUGACUGAAAUACAAGUAGCAUAUAUGAGACGUUCGGACGUAUCCGUGAAAAUACGAAGGUAAAGGAAAUUGCACUACAUUUUUAGAACCUAUUCACCUGUCAGUAAAAUAUUGAAAAGGAAAGUUCAUGAGUUUUAUUAUUUUCUUUCCUCCAACAGCUUCACAUGGAGCAAAUGUAA
Long non-coding RNA from Cydia fagiglandana, 1857 nucleotides. RefSeq lists it as uncharacterized. The record is from RefSeq and is a predicted model, not a curated record. The transcript has 4 exons. NCBI's taxonomy places the organism in Eukaryota, Metazoa, Arthropoda, Insecta, Lepidoptera, Tortricidae.